Molecule: long non-coding RNA, 2997 nt
Organism: Scophthalmus maximus (turbot)
Lineage: Eukaryota; Metazoa; Chordata; Actinopteri; Pleuronectiformes; Scophthalmidae
Exons: 6
Source: RefSeq, a predicted model, not a curated record
AUCAUGAACAGAAAAGCCAGCACGUAAAUGUAGUGGAUUGAACAUAAGGAACAUAAGUGUUAAUGUAAGUAAAGUAUUUGGGCACGUGUAGCUGGAGUUUUGGACGUGCACUGAAUGAGGUCCCGACAUUUUCCGGAACUUUUCCAGAGGGGCUGUAUACAGGAUGCGACAACGGAAAUGUCACAGGGAAGGUACAUUUUCCUGAACCUUCCCUGCCAGACCCCUCAUAAAAAAACCCUCAGAAAAUGUCCGUGUGAGAAUACAGCAGGAAGAUCUCCAUCCAGGAGGAUCCGCGGCGAGCUAUUCGGCGCCCCGAGAGAUCCAGAGAAUCGUAGCUCAUCGUUACGACUGGAAACAGCCCGGCUCUGUCCAAAGGUUUGAUCAUCAAAUCUGCUACCAUCUGGUCAGUUGGACCAUACUCCAAUAAUACCUUCCCAUCAUUCACAGUGGACCGUAUGAAGUGGUAUUUUAUGUCCAUAUGUUUACACCUCUGUCUACUUCCCCAUCUGCUUCACUUUCCACACACGGUGACUACAUCUAUUUUUAUAAACAGUCUAUUGGUUAAACUCUAAUUUGAUAAUGUCUAUUUUCAGUCAAAAUAUGUUUGUACUGUAGACGAUAUAAAUUAAGAUCUUUUUUUAUGUUUUAUUUUUAUUUUUUGGUUGGGGGUAGCCACUUGCAGAUAUCUUUUAACAUUUUAGUGCUUUUGUUGUUCAACAUGUCCUCAACUAUAGUUAAAAAAAGGACACAUUUUGUGCAGCAAAGUUCUGCUACAACCUCCAGGAUCUUCUGGAGAUAAGCUGAGGGAGUACGACGGACUAUCCAGAGGGAAAUGAAGAAUUGCAACAUCUUUGCAUCAGGACAUGGCCAUCGAUGAAUGGGAUGACUCGCUACUGGGACGACAGCAACCAUCGCUGCCUGGUUCAACUCAUGCCAGUGGUAAAAAGCCCACUGGGACGUUUGCUGAUGGCCUGAGGGUCGUUUUCUGAUCUGCUGCUAACACCCAUCUUGACCAGAAAUAAUAUAGCAGGCCUCCACAGACCAGCCUUUUAUGUCGCCAGUAUAGGAAUGGGAGUGAGAGCGGGGCAGAGCCCCGGCCUGGGUCUCUGCGCAUCAUUAUCAUCAGCAGCGGGCCCUCUCAGAUGUGCCAGCACAAGAUCAAAGGAAAGCCUCUCAAUCUUCUCCCCUCACUGAGGCAGCACAGAGCCGCUCUAUAACUGGCAUCUUGGUCCUGCGAUAAUCCUCCCAUUGAUCUACUUCACAGAGUUCAGUCAGCGCCGAGGCUCCUGGGUUGAGGGUUAAAGAUGCUGAGGAAUGUCUGUCAGAGUUUGCGGCACCGGGUGCCAGAUUUUAUUAAGCCGUGAGCUGGACGCGCUUGUACUUUGCAGUGUCCUCUUUUAUUGCAGCAACUUGUUUUCAAGGUGCUUUGCUCAUGAGGUAAUGUAAAUGUUUUAUGAGGGGCUUCCAGCAUUUGCAUAGAUUCUAACCAGAUCAUCAUUUAGGCUUGUAUUAUGAAUACAAAAAUAGGUUAUGUAUUUAGCACAAGCAAUUAAAAAGCAUAUCCGCAGCAACAUGUAGGCAUGGAGUAGAGGGGCAAAUUAAUUCACCUUAUUUUCUAGUUCCUUCCCUUCCUUUGAAGUCCAUGGUGGUGGGGGGGGGGGGUUAGACUGGAAGGCAAAACGCAGAGGUAGGAGGAGGGUGAGGAAGAAUACAGGGAACAAUAGACCAGAGAGCCAUUACCUCAGCUCUGCCACUGCGCCUCCCUCCACUCAACGUCUCCAUCUGCUGGACGCCUUGGGGAAUGGCCAGCUCGUCCUGCCCCGUUCUGCUGACUGGCACUGCUGAGUUGACGACAUGGAAGUUCGUUGAUGUAAUGUUCACACCAUAUUGUUUCAAAAGCCGCCAAAAGCAGCGGCCAGCUUUCAGAGCAAAGUGAAGUCCGCCUGACGCAGAACAGCCCCCGUUACUUUCUGAACAUCACGGAGGGAGGAGACGGGGCUGAAGUUGGAACGUGAGAAACUGAAAGGAUGUAACAAAGGAUUCGGAGCUGCUACAGUUCGAGGCCUGUAUGCAGUUAAAACAACAACAACAACACAGUACUCUACUCACCUUUCUCUCCUGAGUCCUUCUAUCAUUAUUUCCAGGUUAGGGCCAUGGGAGCUAUAGAGCAUGUCCCAGCAUGCACUGGGCAGACGGUAACCAAUCAAAGAGCUAAUAAAUAAAAAAGACAGACAAACAAUUACAGUGACUCAAAGAGUUGUUUGUCCUUGCACAUCUGGCCUUAGUCCUGAAAAAAAGACAUAAAUAUCAUAUAUACUUACUAAUGAAAAUGACUUAAUCACAAUCACAGUUAAUGCAGUCGCUACCGAUACAUAAAUAAAAUAUAUGUUGUAGACAGGGCUUACUAUAUUUUGUAACCAAUACGGCUUAUGGGAAUGUCGUUACCUUUGCAGAUAUUGUUGGAUAACAACAUAUUUAGAUAAAGAUGGCGCUUAUCCUUGUUUUUACAUUGUCGGAGCGUUCUGAAUGUCUACCCAUUUCUAGAGGAACAGUGUUUCAGUUUGAAUCAGAGCGGUGGACAUAUGGACAUGGCCUAUCCCAUCUCAAGGGCAUGCUGCUAGCAUUUGCUAAAAAACUUUAACUUUUCCCUUCUUGCUGUCUCCAAGGCUUUUUGUUACUUGUCUCGGGUUUGAUGUCCCAUCACCAGGAGUGCAGUGUUUUUUUGUUAGCGGUGCAGCUUUUUAAAAAAUAUAUGAAAAAUAGGGGUGACAUUCAAAAAUAAGCAAUUGCCAUGGCAAUAGUGGUUGAGAUGUUUUCUUUUUCGUCGCCUUUGCCCAAUUGGUAGACUGACGGACAGUCGCGCGAGAACAGGAACCUGCCCUUCUCCCCCCGAGUCAGCCUACUCGCUGGCCUCCCCAUUUCUGUAUCAUAUCUUCACUCCAUGAUGUUUGGCACAUCCCGUAUAGGCUGUUUCACACAUUUUGACAGUAUAGGUUU